Molecule: ribosomal RNA, 468 nt
Filed under: uncultured bacterium
Lineage: Bacteria
Description: partial 16S ribosomal RNA
Rfam family: Bacterial small subunit ribosomal RNA
Source: RNAcentral
GACGAAUGCUGGCGGCGUGCUUAACACAUGCAAGUCGAACGGAAAGGCCCUGCUUUUGUGGGGUGCUCGAGUGGCGAACGGGUGAGUAACACGUGAGUAACCUGCCCUUGACUUUGGGAUAACUUCAGGAAACUGGGGCUAAUACCGGAUAGGAGCUCCUGCUGCAUGGUGGGGGUCGGAAAGUUUCGGCGGUUGGGGAUGGACUCGCGGCUUAUCAGCUUGUUGGUGGGGUAGUGGCUUACCAAGGCUUUGACGGGUAGCCGGCCUGAGAGGGUGACCGGCCACAUUGGGACUGAGAUACGGCCCAGUCUCCUACGGGAGGCAGCAGUGGGGAAUAUUGCACAAUGGGCGGAAGCCUGAUGCAGCAACGCCGCGUGCGGGAUGACGGCCUUCGGGUUGUAAACCGCUUUCGCCUGUGACGAAGCGUGAGUGACGGUAAUGGGUAAAGAAGCACCGGCUAACUACGUG